This 253-nucleotide ribosomal RNA is filed under the name uncultured bacterium. RNAcentral describes it as "partial 16S ribosomal RNA". It matches the Rfam family "Bacterial small subunit ribosomal RNA", at positions 524 to 776 of the family's 1533-position model. The record is from RNAcentral.
UACGUAGGGGGCAAGCGUUGUCCGGAUUUAUUGGGCGUAAAGAGCGUGUAGGCGGCUUGGCAAGUCUGCUGUGAAAACUCGAGGCUCAACCUCGAGCUGUCGGUGGAAACUGCUUGGCUAGAGUCCGGAAGAGGAGAGUGGAAUUCCUGGUGUAGCGGUGAAAUGCGCAGAUAUCAGGAGGAACACCGGUGGCGAAGGCGGGUCUCUGGGCCGAUACUGACGCUGAGGAGCGAAAGCGUGGGGAGCGAACAGG